This 273-nucleotide ribosomal RNA is filed under the name uncultured Propionibacterium sp. Its description in RNAcentral is "partial 16S ribosomal RNA". It matches the Rfam family "Bacterial small subunit ribosomal RNA", at positions 524 to 796 of the family's 1533-position model. The record is from RNAcentral. Lineage: Bacteria; Bacillati; Actinomycetota; Actinomycetes; Propionibacteriales; Propionibacteriaceae.
UACGUAGGGUGCGAGCGUUGUCCGGAUUUAUUGGGCGUAAAGGGCUCGUAGGUGGUUGAUCGCGUCGGAAGUGUAAUCUUGGGGCUUAACCCUGAGCGUGCUUUCGAUACGGGUUGACUUGAGGAAGGUAGGGGAGAAUGGAAUUCCUGGUGGAGCGGUGGAAUGCGCAGAUAUCAGGAGGAACACCAGUGGCGAAGGCGGUUCUCUGGGCCUUUCCUGACGCUGAGGAGCGAAAGCGUGGGGAGCGAACAGGAUUAGAUACCCCCGUAGUCC